GGAAUCUUGCGCAAUGGACGAAAGUCUGACGCAGCCACGCCGCGUGCAGGAAGACACCCCUCAGGGGCGUAAACUGCUUUUAUAUGGGAAGAACACCCUACUCGGUAGGGUCUGACGGUAACGUAUGAAUAAGGACCGGCUAACUCCGUGCCCGCCGCCGCGGUAAUACGGAGGGUACAAGCGUUGUCCGGAAUCACUGGGUGUAAAGGGUGUGUAGGCGGGCCUGCAAGUCAGAGGUGAAAGCCCCCGGCCUAACCGGGGAAUUGCCUUUGAGACUGCAGGUCUUGAGUCCUGGAGGGGUCACUAGAAUUCGUGGUGUAGCGGUGAAAUGCGUAGAUAUCACGAGGAAUACCAGAGGCGAAGGCGGGUGACUGGACAGGUACUGACGCUGAGGCACGAAAGCGUGGGGAGCAAA
Molecule: ribosomal RNA, 415 nt
Filed under: uncultured bacterium
Lineage: Bacteria
Description: bacterial SSU rRNA
Rfam family: Bacterial small subunit ribosomal RNA
Source: RNAcentral